RNAcentral lists this long non-coding RNA (25639 nucleotides) under Jatropha curcas. RNAcentral describes it as "long non-coding RNA (JCUR_LNC001842)". Lineage: Eukaryota; Viridiplantae; Streptophyta; Magnoliopsida; Malpighiales; Euphorbiaceae. The record is from RNAcentral.
UUUUUUUUUUUUUUUUUUUUUUUUUUUUUUUUUUUCUGCUUGUGAUAUACUGUUUUUGCUGACUUAUACUUGGCCUUUCAUUGCUAGCACCUUAUAUAAUUUUGUAGGGUUAACAAAAGUUAACAAAGUGACAAUGUUGGUGACAAAUGAACGUGGAAAGAAUUGCAUUGCUAAAAAUAAUUGGUGAAAUGUCAUUCUCUAAUGCUAUUAUAGAAACACAUACGUAACUCUGCUGACCAUUAACAUCAACUCACUGUGUUUGUUUGAGCUUGACUCGUAUUCUCUAAUUGUGCCACCGCCACCUGUGUCCUAAAGCGGGUCCGACAUAACUUAUAACCUUGUACCCUGAAGACUGAUCUGGACAUCAACAUACCAUUUUUAGCAGCACAAAACACCAAAUAGCCCCCCCAAAAACAAAAUAGGAAAAAGAUAAAAAAAAAAAAAAAAAAAAAAGACAUUCAAGUAAUGAUGUGUCUCAAUUUGACGAUAGCUCUCUCUCUCUGCAGCUAUGUCCAUUAUAUUGGCCACAUAAGUUUAUGAAAUUUUCAUCGACCGUCCACUUGGCCUGGCCUUUUUAAUGUUAAAUCAUCAAUGGACCAAGAGUUUGUACAAAUUAGAAUUUGAUCUUCUUGAAAGGACAAGCACAGUCGUUUUGUCUUUUUUUUUUUUUUUUUUUUUUUUUUUUUUAUAGAAUUUGGACCACUUUGAAUUCUACCCUUUGGACACACCGAACUGGAAAAUCAAUCGAAUUUAUUAUUUUUUAGUAGUCUUUUCUAGUGAAGUGGUCACUUUGGUUUUCAAUUACUGUUUUUCUGGUUGAAAUUCACGUAUUAGAGCGUCAGGAAUAAAACAAAUCAAAAAUUCAAAAAAAUGUUACCUAACAUUUCUAGAUUAUUUAUUUUUUUUAUUAAUGUUAUUUUCUUUAUGAUUAAUGUUUUGAAACUCAUUUUUACUUCCAUAAUUUUAUUAUUACCGGUUGAAGAUUCAACCCCUCCGUUAUUGAAAGAUUUGAAAUAUAACACGCAUUAAUUAUGAUGUAUUGAUCAUUUGUCUUCGAAACUGAUGUCAAAUUGUUAUUGGUCGGAAUUCUAAACCCCAACUUGGCUACUAACUGAUGGAGACUUGCUAUUUGCUACUAACAUUUUAUGUGAUUUGAUUUGUUGGAAUUUGAAUCAUUUUAUCCACUAUGUGUUUCUUUGGCUGAGAAAAGAUAAAUAAAUUAUAAAAAUUGAUAAAUUUUAAUUUAACCGUUAAUGCUAUUAUCUUGAAAUUAUGACUUUUUAUAUUAAUAACAGUUAUUGUAAAAAUACUUUUUAAAUUUAUAAGAAAAGCAAAAAAACAGGAAGCUAAUGUCCUACUUUUUUAUUUCUUUAAUAGAAAAUAUUAGAAAAACAUUUUUCUUUAUUGUUUCAACUCAAAGAAAGUCUGGUGUAUGAUGUAAAAGAUAGAAAAUGAUUAGAAAUUUGACGUCAUAUUAAGAAUUGGAAUCCUCUUUGACUUUUUUUUGAAUGGCAGAUAGCAUAGGAAUAAUACCAAAUAAAGUGGAAUUUAUAUUAUUAUCCACUUAAUUAGCAACCAUUAAACCUUUGUAUUAUUUUUUUUUUUCAUACUUUAUCAAUUACAAAAUCUCUCUCUAAUCGCAUAAACAAUAUAUAAUAAAUUGAUAUUAUAUACUUUUAACUAUAUAAAAGUAAUGACCUGACAUUAAUCGAUACUAAAUUCGAACCUCUGUACUCUUAAUUUUUAAAGUUAUAAAUUAUAAUUUAUGUAUUGGAUUCAUAUAUAUGGGACAAAAGCACAAGUUCAAGAUUAGUUGUAAUAAACUCAAGAAAUGAUCUUCAGUAUACUUCAAGACUUUGGUUAUUUUCACACAUUAUUUCUGUAGUUUUAACCUUUCCUCGUUUUUAUGAUUUUUUUUUUUUUUUUGAAGCAAAAAGAGAAAAAACAUUUGUCCUCUUAUGAUUCUUUAAUUUUUGAUUUUCAAUAAAAACAAAAUCAAAUUAAAGUUCUAUUUACUAACGAAGAUCGAAUAAGGCCCCACAAAUCUGUAUAAAAUCUUGAUUUCUCUUGUCUAUGUGGAUUUGUAUUGGAGUGUGACAUUUCAAGUCGGUAAAUAUAUUAGUUUCUAUUUUUUUUUUAAAUAAAUUUAUUUCAUUUUAUUAUUUCUUAAAUAAUGAAAUGGGAUAUUUUUAGUCAAUUUUUCCAUAGUGAUAUUGAUUAGUAAUUUUGAUUAACGUUUAAUGAUGGACUUUCGAAAGGAUUUGCUUAAUUAACAGUCAAGAAAUCUAAUUACACUUCAUAUGGACCAUUCAAAUUUUCAAUCUUUUUGUUUUUUUUUUUGGAUGAAAGGACAAAGAAGGGUCUGGAUCAAUACCUAGAUAUGGAGGUUUAGACAAAUUUAGGGUUAGGAUAGAACCUAAUUAAUUAAGUUAUAUAAGUAGUUUGAUUAGAUAUAAAACAAUAUUAUAUUCUACCUAAUUAACAACAAGUUUUAAACUUGUAAUGUAAUGUCAAAAAAAAAAAAAAAAAAACUUGUAAUGUGAAUGCAGACAAGGUCAAACACAUUGCUAUAUGGCAAGGGCGCAAGAUAGUGAGCCAAUGAGAGUGAUCAAUAAGAAGGACAAAAGAGGUCAUAUCAAUGUGUACAACCUGCAAAUUAAUGGAUUGUCCCACCAAAAACUUUAGUAUUACUCCCUUAAACUUAUCGAAAACGUUUGUAAUUAAAAUUGAAAUGACUAUGAUUUAAAAUUUUUAAAGAUCAAUUAGAUUAUAUUUGAUUGGCAGUUUAAAUUUUUUAUUUGUAUUAGAAAAUAGUUGGUUUUUAACCAUGUGGUGAUGUGGGUUGGAUUCCCCAGCUUAAGGCCCCAAAUAAUUAUGUGAAUGUUAGAGGAUUUUCUAUAUAUGCCCACCUAAUUAAUUAAACAGCCAUAGUGAUUAUAGAAUUCUAACACUCGCUUAAUAUGGUGAUUAAUGGUUAACUUAAUGGGCAAGAGUGAUUGCAGAAUUGCAAUUUAAAAAUAAUGAAAAAUGGAAAAUAUUGUAAUUGGACAAACUUUUUGUCUAGCAAAAUGGCUGAGUGCGGCUAUGAUUGUGACCAAACCUCUCUAUCACAUUGCAGUAAUUAAGUUUAAGUUUAUUAAAUAAAAUAUUUAUUGUUUAGCAUACAUUAUUGACCGCACUACUGAUUUUUAGGGGAGGUAAUGGAUCUUGAUUUGCUAAAAGAGGAAAUCAAAGAUAUAUAUUCUUUGUUUCAUUUAAUGAAGAUAUUUAUAAAAUGUGAAUUCUUGCAUCAGAAGCUAAAGCAGAAAGUUUGGAAUGGGUAAUGUAUAUUAAAUAAUUAAAAAUAAAGUCCACUAAAAAAAUAUUAAAAUAAAGCAACUUAAAUUUGUACUCAAUGAAUAAAAUAAAUUAACAAAAACAAGAAAAGUAUCCAUUGCCAAUUUAAUAUUCUAAACGAGGGAAUUUUCAAAUAUUUACUUUCUUUAGGUUAGAGAUAUAUUUUUACACAUAAGAUAGUAUCAGUAUUUAAUUUUAACAUUGGAAAAUGAGAAAUACGGAAAUUAGUGAAAACGACAAGUUAUAAUAACAGCCAAUACAAAGGGGACAAGCCGUUGAUUUAGAACAUUAAAAUUUGCUCCCCAAACUGCUAACAGUCCAAAUAGAGAAAAGCUUAAUUAAAAAAACAUUUGGCAGCGACACGUGGCUAUUAGACACGUAGGGACAAUGACUCCAUGCGCCAACGCACAAUCUGCCUUAGCCCAAAAGUAAAGCCAAAACCAAAUCCGAUUCCAAGCUACCGAAUCUAAGCUGUUUUACACUCCCCCCUUUCUAUUUUUAUUUUUUAUAAUUUAUAUACUCCACGCUCCUUGCCAUCGUGUGGGCGUUUAUUUUUGUUUUUUUUUAUUUACUUUUAAAUUUUUAUUACUGCUGUAAGAUAAUAUUUACAUUAAGACAGACUGAGCCCAUUACAAGCACUGUAGAUAAAUUCUUUUUUUCAGGAAAUUAAAUUGAAAAAACAGUGAGACAGAGAUAACAUAUAUGGAGUUCAAAUAUAAGCAAUAUACAUUGGAAAAAAACACCUAUAGUUCCAAAAGAGCGAGCAUUGAUCCCAAACUCAAGUUGCUGACUGCUGAGCCUGUCUGUGUUUCCCCAAUUUGUUGUCAAAAACCGGGACCACGUCCACGUAACACCCUUACCGGUACACGCAUGACACGCGCGUCGAUUGCGAGUUAGAAAACCAUUCCAUCUGAAAAUAUCUAACCAUGAGGGACCACGGACUUGUAACAAAAGAUUAUAAAAGCGGAGGCACGUGGGUCCCAUUCUCGUGACCCAAGAAAUAUCACAAACCAUACGGGUUUGGCUUCCUGCCACGUUAACUCAUCUUACAGUAGGCGCGCGUCCGCUUAUAUAUUGCGGUGCUACCUCAACGACAUUAAAAUAAUAAUAAUAAUAAUAAAAAUAAAAAUAAAGAGCCGGCUGUGAGACGGCCCAACCCAUCCGCACCACCUGCUUCUCCUCCUUCCUCCAUAAGAAGCAGCUUCACUUUCUUUUAGAGGAGAAUUAAAUACAGCCUAGUUUAUGGGAUGGAGUCUAACAACGUCGUAGCACCGUUCGUUAUGAAGACUUAUCAGAUUGUCAAUGAUCCAAAGACGGAUACGAUAAUCAGUUGGGGCAAAGCCAAUAACAGCUUCAUCGUCAUCGACCCGUUAGAUUUCUCACAGAGGAUCUUACCUGCUUAUUUCAAACACAACAACUUCUCUAGCUUCGUUCGUCAAUUAAACACCUAUGUAAGUCCCUCUAAUUAUAAUUAAUUAAUAUAAAUACGCCUAAAAUAUUAUUAAUUAAUAGUGUUUUAACGUUAAUUUUAAUUAUUAACAGGGUUUUAGAAAAGUGGAUCCCGAUAGAUGGGAAUUCGCAAAUGAAUGUUUCUUAAGAGGCCAAAAGCAGUUACUGAAGAAUAUAGUUCGUAGAAAGCAUAGUAAGAGCUCAUUUAUGCAAGGUAAAAUUGAGGACUUUGACAAUGAAGAGUUGGUUAUGGAGAUAGCGAGGUUGAAGCAGGAACAGAAGCUUCUAGAGAAAGAGCUUGAAGGGAUGAACAAACGUUUAGAGGCUACGGAGAGAAGACCUCAACAAAUGAUGGCUUUUCUUAACAAAGUCGUCGAGGACCCUGAUCUUCUUCCUCGCAUGAUGCUCCAGAAGGAACGAACCAGACAAUUAACUGAAAAGAAACGCCGUCUUAUGAUUUCUUCUUCUUCGUCGUCCUCUGGUGGAGCCGCCGUUUCUAGUUCUGUUAAGUCUGAAGAAGAAGAAGAGGAGGGAAACAUAGGGGUAAUAUCGUCACAAGAGAAUAAUAACCUUUGGCAAUCAUCCCCGUCGCCGGAGACAAAUCCUAUAAGAUGGUUAGGAGAAGGAAACUACGGUUGUUUGAUAGAGCCUGGUCUGUUAACGUCGGGUUCUUCAGUAGGUGCAGGGAUUGGGAAUAGUGUGACUGUAGCGGUGUCUCCGCCAGGGAACGGUUUGAUAGUUUAUGGCGGUGAUAGGGUAGGGGAAAUUAGUUAUUUUGCAGGACUGGAGGCGGGGGUGGAUGCAAGACCGCCACCGCCUUAUCCAUUUUCGCUUUUAGGAGGUGGCUUUUAGCUGCUAUUAACAAGAAAUAUCAUCUUGGAUUCUAUAUACCUUCUGUAUUAAUUUUGCUUUUUGGUAUAUUGCCUUUUCUUUAUCCCUUUCUUUGGUUUAAUAAUUCUUGUAAAAAAACAGAAGUAAUUUAAUUUUGUGGUUAAUAUGCUGUUUAUAUUGAUAAUACAUUUCCAACAAAUCUUCUUUUAUAUAUAUACACACAAAUCAUAAAUAUAUAAAUAAAAUUAUUUCGCAAAAAUAUAUAUAUAUUUUUUAUAAGAAAAUUAUGACAUAAUCCUCUUAUUAGAGGGAGGUUGAGAAAUGGUGGUAUAACUAUGAAUGAUCGACAUGUUAUUUUUCUGUAAAAAUGAUCAGACGGCAUUCACUUUUAUGUAUUAAUAACAAAUUACAAGAAGUUGUCUUGUGCAUGAACCUGAACCUGAACCUGACGUUCCUGGAUUCUGAUUCUUUCUUCCUUUUUUUUUUUCUUUCUGCAACCUAUGAAAAGGCGGUUGGACCUUUUUAAUUUUCGGAGUUAUCAAUUUCACAAAGUUGGGGAGCAGACGGAUAAGUUAUCCAUCCAUAAUCCAUUGACACCGCCGCAGCAAUUUGCUAUGCCUCACUUCGCCUUUUACCCAAUUAGAACACGCCACAUGUCAGAGUCUGGCUUAACCCACUGUACUUUGCCCUCCUAAUAUUGGCAAAGUGGCAGUGGAAGUCAAAUAUUUGAGGGAAUCAGAAUUUAAUAAAAAGAAAACGCAGGCAUGUGACUCGCCUCUUUCAGAUCACAUUGGGGCACACUUUCAGAUCAUCAUCAUCAUCAUCACCAAUUAAAAAAAUAAAAAUAAAAAUAAAAAUUUACACGGUUGGAAAAGGCAAACACCCUUUUUUAAUACCUCUCUGUGCUCUUGUCCCACCUGAGCUGGCACUCCUUGUUUUCUUGCUUUCCCAGUUAGCCUUACCCUUCACAGCAAAAUCACGUGCCAUCUGCGUGACAGUUGAGAUGCGAAUUUCCUCUUUAUAGCCUCAUCAUAGACACCACGUGAAGGACAAAGUUAAAACAACACCUAUAUUGUCCAAAUCUGAUUAAUCUAGGAUUCAUGUUAAUGUAAUUAAUUUCAGAAUAGAGUAAGCUUUGUUAUUGUUGGUAAAUAUUGUCCUAUGACUCCACGCGUACAUUUACCAGAAGUUUGAUAUACAGUAGCAGUAAAUUAGUAACAGUACAAGUGACGAGAGGUGAACGUGAGAAGUCGAUCACGUGGGACCCGUAAAGCGACUAAAUCCCGUUUUUGGAAGUUUUAUCGGAGGACGCGUGUCAACCAAGUGGACAUAUUACUAUGUGAUGUGGGGCCAAGCGCUGACAAGGACUAAUUGCGGAGGGAGGCCUGAAGGUGUGGGGACAUGUAAAGGGCAUCUUGUCUUGUGGGGACCAAUCCUCGUCUAGUGAGUCCACGUGGGGAGUGUAAGAGGAGGGAGUGGCACGUGUUAGCAUUCCGAUGCUAUCGCUUUUUAGUGUUCACAUGGAUAUGAGGAAGAGGAGGCCCCCCUCCCAUCAAACUCCAACUCCAACUCCAACUCCAACCCCAACCCAGCCCAGGCCCUGUUGCGGUGCACCUCUGGCACACAAAAUCAUGCUAGGCGUUGAACCCAUUACUUGAGUAGGUCCCACCACGUGUCAACUCUUUUCUUUCUUAAUUCGUUUAUUUUAUUAUUAUCAUUAUUAUUAUUAGAAUAAUAAUCUAACUACAACAACUUGAGACUGAGAUACGUUAUAACCCAACCCAACCCAAAUCCAGUCCAAACAAAAUAUCCUCUAGCUAAAUUCUUAGUAUUUUAAUUUUUAAAUACAAACUGGAAAGGAAGAGGGACACGUGGCCAUUUGAAAGACAAGGAAAGUCACUGUCUAAUGGAGAUGAACCAAUCAGAACCAUUAAUUUAGGUAAAUAAUUGUGGCUUUAUGAUUAUAAAGUGUGGUUAAACCACGGCCACGUAAAAUGAAUCAGGCACGUCACCCUCCGACUGAUAAAAAAAAAUAUUAGAAAUUAGAAUACAUGUGAUGUACAUUAGGACUAAGGCAAUGGUGUAACUUUAUGAUCCACUGAUUAUAGGAUAGGACCCAUUAACUGAAAAUGAAUAAAUAAAUAAACAAAUAAAAAAAUAGUGGAGUUUGUGUCCCACAGCUGAGAUGAUAAGUAAUCGCUCUAAUAUUACUCGCAAUUUUCGCACGCUUGGUUUAUUUAUUCUUAAGCUGCUUCAAACCGGCAUGCAAAUCAUACAUACAAUUAUUGACCGCAAAAGAAAAUGAGUGACUGUUCGCGCGGCUGACUCACAGCUUGAAUUGUCAUUUACGGUCUAAUACACCAUCUGUAAAACUGAACGAAUUUAAUAAAUAUUAAAUUCUUGUAAUUUUCUAGAAUUUGAAGAAUUAUAUUAUAUCAUGCAAUUUAAACAAUUUGCUUAUUGCGAAGCCAACAAUUUUGAAUUCAGAAUUGUUAUGAUGACAAUCCCACAAAAUAUGGAUGAAGAAAUGGAAAGUCUUUCCCAUGAAACGCUUAAUCAAACACAUGCUUCGAAAAUUCCUACCUUGAAAUAUUGACUGAUAACAUUUGAAGACCCUUUACCAUUGAUUUUUUGUUAAGCCGCCUAACAAUCAUUAGACUUGAAAUCUUGAAUUAAUUUGAUAUAGACCAUAUAAAAAAAAAAAAAAAAAAAAAGUUUGGAAAUUACCUUCUUUUCGAAAAAAACAAAAAAAAAGAAAAAAGAAAAACACUAACGACGUUAAUAAUAGCAGGAUUUCGGCUCAAAAGCCGAUACGACGUCCAUUGGGCUAAGCAUCAGAAGCCCAAUAUGUGCAAGGUUUUGGGUUUCUUGUAGUGGACCUAAUGUAUACUUAACCGAGCAAUUGGGUUUGCAUAGGGGUGUUUUAUUGCUUUCGGACUUCGAUGAAGCCCAGCCCAUAUUGUAUAGAUUUUGAUAACUGAGGAGACCUAAAAUUUUGUCAUGUCAAACUAAACUGUACCAAAGGAUCAGUAUUUGUCACAAAAAACUAAAAGAUCCUGGCCAUUAAUCCCACUUUUGCCUAACAAGUAACCACCCAACUAAAGUAGUAGGCCGAGCAAUGCCUUUUCAUACUGUCUCAUAAAUACAAAAUUUAUAAAUUAGGUAAUGGAGCCUUUAUUAUUAUUAUUAUUAUUAUUAUUUUUUCAAUACUUUAUUAUUAUGCUUUUGAAGUUGGGCUAUAAUCAGAUUUUGCUAAGAAAUAAUAAGGCCCACCAACUAACAUUUGAAGUCCCAACAUCCCUUCCUAAAGCUACUAAUUAAGCCAUAAAAAAGUCUGCAUUGACACUGCAAAAAACCUUAAACUCCCAUCUUAGUAUCGUGAUUAAUUAUAAUUAGAAACAAACCUACUUAGCUUAGCUUAGGUAUAUAGGCCGGCCUUUACCAUGGGAAUUGAAGCAACCUUGUAAAGGCUGUAUAACAUUUUGGGAUCCACGUAUAUAUAAAUGCUUGUCUUAUGUUUCGUGUAUUUAUACUUAGGGUUAGGAUAAAAAAUUUUAAAACGCCUAAAACAAACUUUAUGCCAUUCUCGAAUUGAUUUUGCCAAUAAUAUAUAAAUUGUUUUUUCUUUUUCAUUUUUGGAAAAAUAUUCUUGAUUUCAGUGUCUUUUUUUUUUUUUUUUUUUUUUGUGAUGCUUUUGUUUAUUUAUAUAUUUAUUGUAGUUGUUGGCUGAAUUAUAGCAAAAAUAUUCCUUUUAUUACUCAAAAUUUAGAUAAAUUGUAAGUAAAAAGAAAAAUCAGAUUCAGAUGUACUUGGUUUCUGUAAUUAGUUGACGGAGUAAUAUUUCCAAUGUGAAAGAAAAAAGAAAAACCCAAUAGGAAUUAAUCAAACUGAUUUAGUCAAUCUUAAUUUGAUUUUGAGAUGCCCAAUGAUUUCUUUGUUUUUCUUUUAACGAAAUUUCUAACUGUUUAAUAUUAUCCACUAUUAGUAACUACUAACUAACGAAUCGCUGACUCUGAUUUUAAUAUAUUCAAAUUUAUAAAAAAGAACAUUUAAAUUUGAGCUUUCAAAUAUAUGUGUUUAAAUUUAAAAUUUCUCACAUUUGAUUGUUAAAAAUUUAAAUAAAAACAUCAAAAAUAUAUUUCUUCAAUUAGUAAAAUUGAAAUUGGAGAAAUGAUGGUUAUCUUAUAAAAUGAUUAGAGUAGGCUAAUUGGGUAGGUUUGAUUAUUAGUCUUCUUUAAUAAUUUGGAAUUGAACGAGUGGUUAACUUAGUAGACGUAAAGAGUAAGAACAUGCAUGGCAUAUAUAUAUGUGUUUGUAUUGGAAAUGCCAAAUGGAAUAGAAAACUGAAAAGGAAAAGACAGCAAACAUUCUUUUUAUUGCACGCUUCAAAUGAAGCUCCAGAAAGAAUCUUCCGAAGCAACUCUUUUUUUGAUGAAGAGGAAUAUAUAUAAAAGGAAGAGAAGGUGUGGAUGGGGAAGAAAGAAAUUGUCCAAAGUCUUGGUGGGAGAGAAUGUUCUUUGAUUCCGCAUGAUAACAAACAAUAAUAGUGGGAUGAUUCAUGGAUUUGAUUCAACUACCGUACUUUGAUUCCCAUUUACUAUCCCAUUUCAGAAAAAUUUAUAUCAUUUAACUCUCCAACUUUAACAAUUCUGAGAUAUGAUUUUUCCAAUUUCAGAUUAUAUCUUUCUAACUUGAAUUACAGCUAUGCAAGUAGCCGUUUCAUGAUUCUAAUUUAAUUCUAUUUUUCUUUGUAUAAGAUUUUGGCUUCCUUCCUGAACAUGACAUACAAUUUCGUACUCAUGAUUUACCAAUUAAUAUAACAACACAUUGGUCUCACUCUAUAAGUAGUCCAUGAACCCCAUUUAGUAACUGGAAAGGUUUGGUCCAAAGCAGCAUCAUGACUACCUUGCGAUGUACUUCAAAUCAGAUGGUUAGGAACUGUCAAUUGGUAACCAUUCACAGUUCUAGUUUCCAAUUCCUUGGCUCCCUACGUAGAUUCUCCAUUUAACAUGAUCACCGUAAUUAAAAUGUUAUUAGAAAAAGAAAAAAAGAAAAUGUAUAGUCAAGAUCUAUUUGGAAAAAUUAGUUAUUUGCUAACUGUCAGUUGUUUUAGUUGUUUAAUUGUUAGUUGUUUUAAUGAUUAAAAUGUUAAUUUUAAUCAUGUUUCAAUUAAAUGUAAAAAAAAUAAUUAUGUGAGAUGAAUGUGAACUUUAUACGCUUUGUAAUUUAUUAUUAUUAUUAUACCAUGAUCCACGUUUAUAGUUUUUCGAUUCAGUUGAUACAGGUAUACUCUAACCACUUAUUCGUCUAGAUGUCAUCUUGCCAUCUAAUAUGUUCUUUCCAAUUGGAUAAUAUCACACAAACAUAUACAUAAUAUAAUUUAUAUAUUAAAAUAUAAUUUUUGCAUAUUUCCACGAAUGCCAUCAACGAGCAGGCUACUUUGUCCUCGACGCCUAGUGAAGCAGAGAGUUUCUUUUCCCUCAUAUUUCUUUUUUUUUUUUUUUAUUUAAAAGUUGGUUAAUGGAAGUUAGUUACUCACACUAACGUAGGUAGAAAAAUAUUAUAUAUAUAAGCAGAGAGAAAUUGAGACCACUGACCAUUUCUUAUAUAUAUAAAUUCAGUAUUCUGAAUCACACCCUUGAAAAGUGUUGGUUUUAGCUCCGCAGGUGUCGGCCUUCAUUUUCUCCUCUAUUGAACAAAAACUAGAAGAUCCAUGGAGAUUAGACCCUCUCAAAAUUAAUUAUCCAUAGUUCCACAAAUCCAGGAAUUCCAAAUCUCUCUUUUGGAUAAGAAGAAGAUCAAAUUUCUCUCUUUCUCUGUCCCAAAUCCAUCUGUAUUUAAACAGCUCUCCUGAUGAGUUCUAUUUUGUGUCAAAAAGGGAUUCCUUCAGUUUCCUGUUCCGCAUCAACUUCUACAUAGUUAAUUUACUUAGCUAUAUCUUUUGUUUUGCCUUAUGGACUAUUACUUGAAAGAAGUGGAAGGCAAAAGAGUCCAUGACCCCUUCAACAAGAAAAUGGCCAUAUCACCAAGUAGGUGUAUAUGGGUACCAGGAGCUCUUAUUGUUGGUGCUGGUCCUUCAGGUUUAGCUACUGCUGCAUGUCUUAAAGAAAGAGGUGUUCCUAGUUUAAUUCUUGAAAGGGCUAAUUGCAUAGCUUCUCUAUGGCAACUCAAAACUUAUGAUCGUCUUCGUCUUCAUCUUCCUAAACACUUCUGUGAGCUUCCUCUUUUGCCUUUCCCAUCAAAUUUCCCUACCUACCCUACAAAACAACAGUUUGUGGGUUACUUGGAAUCCUACACCAAAUUUUUUGGUCUCGAACCAGUCUUUAAUAACACAGUUGUCAGUGCAGAAUUUGAUAGUCGAUGUGGGCUUUGGAAGGUUAAGUCGUCUGGGCUUAAAGAGGAAGAAUCUGAAUAUGUAUGCCAAUGGUUAAUCGUUGCCACCGGAGAAAAUGCGGAUGAGGUUGUGCCUGAUAUUGAAGGAAUGGCUGAUUUUCAAGGACUUAUAAUGCAUACAAGUUCCUAUAGGAGUGGCGAAGUCUUUAGAGGAAAGACUGCUUUGGUUGUUGGAUGUGGCAAUUCCGGUAUGGAGGUCUGUUUAGAUCUCUGCAACUACAAUGCUUACCCUUCCAUUGUUGUUAGAGACUCGGUGAGCAUCCUUUAAUUUUCUUUUUCCCUCUCUUCCUUUCUUUCUUUCUUUCAUUCUCAAGCAGUCAAUUUUUUGCUUUUAUUUUAACAUAUGCUUAAUUUAGAAAAGACAAAAUCAAAGAAAGUUUUCAUUUUUAUUAUACUGUUAUUGUUUUAAUAUGUUUGUAAAAUAUCUUUAUUAUUUUACUAUUCUUUGCCACAUAAACAUAAGCUAUUAUAUUUGUUGAGAAUAUGUUCUGCAACAAUACAGACAAAGCAACUGUGCGACUCUUUUAUGCCACUUUUUCACCCCACUUGAGGGAGUUCGGAAAUUACUUGUUGCAGACUCAACUGUAUAAUAUUGUAAGGUUUUGUUUUCUUUUGUUGACUUUAGCUGCGGUAACAGUUUAUAUUAAUCUCUUGGUGAAUAGAUUUCUGGAUUUUUUUUUUUGAAUGAAACAUCACGUAGUUUAUUGGUAAGUCAGAAGUAAACCCCAAUUGUCCUUUUUCUUUAAAAAAUUUUCGCUAUAAUGAUACAAACUAAUAAAUAAAUAAAUAAAAUCUUUGAAUUUGAUGUAUCACUUUCUUGGAAUUUGUUUGCAUGCGUAGCCAUAGUCAGCAUUCCAAAAACUCGUAUGUCUUAAUUCUUUUUGGGAUUCUACUCUGCACAGUAUUGCAGAUUCUAAAGUAUAUAUGGAAAAUAAGCGUAGAAAUGGUACAUAUCCUGAAAGUUGCAAAUUCACACAUUAGUCGGUGACAUGCGUGGGGGACUCAUUAGCUUAUCUAACCCACUCCUUCGAAACUUUUCAAGUAACUUUUUUCUUUCCUUUGGGGGUUUUUUUUUGCAGGUGCAUGUCCUGCCACAACAGAUGCUCGGAAGAUCAACUUUUGGAUUAUCCAUGUGGCUGCUAAAGUGGUUUCCUUUGAAGCUUGUGGAUCAAAUUCUGUUGUUUCUUUCAUAUUUCUUGCUUGGUGAUACUUCUAAACUUGGCAUUCAUCGCCCUAAACUUGGCCCCCUCCAACUCAAAAAUACCGCUGGAAAAACUCCUGUUUUAGAUGUUGGAACUCUCGCUAAGAUCAGAACUGGAGAGAUUAAGGUUAACUUUUUUUCUAUUGAGAUCAAAUAACAUUCAUAAAUGUUGUUUAUAAUUUAUUAUUUUAUAAUUAAUUGUAGGUUUUCCCAGAAAUAAAGAGAGUAAUGCGUGGUUCUGUGGAGUUUGUCGAUGGAAGGAUUCAAGAUUUUGAUGCUAUUAUUCUAGCCACAGGUUACAAAAGUAAUGUGCCUUACUGGUUGAAGGUUAGUUUAUUGAAUCUUUAACAUGAAAGAAGAAUGAUUCUGUUAAUGCAGAAUUAAAGUUUUUUUUUUUUUUUUUGAAAAAAAAGAUGAUCAUCAUGAAUUUUUGCGCUCAGGAGAACAAAAUGUUUUCAAAGAAAGAUGGAAUGCCCCACAAUUCAUUCCCAAAUGGAUGGAAAGGUGAAAAUGGACUGUAUGCAGUAGGCUUUACGAAGCGUGGCCUGCUUGGCGCAUCUAUUGAUGCAAGAAGAGUCGCACAAGACAUUGAGCUUCGCUGGAAAGCUGAAGCUACAAGUUUCAUGGCCAGUGCCCGUGCAUUGCCUCAGCAAUCAUGACUCCAGGGAAACAAAAACCAAAAAAAAAAAAAAAAAAAAAGAAAAAGAAAAAAAUUCCUCUCUCUUGAGUGAAGAUCCAAGCAUGCAGGAAAUAAUAGAACGAGAAAGGACAAGUUGUCUUUUUAACUUUUCGUAUGCACAGAAGCAAGCUAGGAAUGCUACAGAAAAAUUAAAGAUGGGUUUUGGGGGGGGGUGGGUUGAGAUUAUUAUUGGUUUUUUGAGGCAGGAGAAAAUUCUCAACGUGUGUACAUAGCUUGUGCUUUUCUUAAGAAACAAUUUUUUAUAUUCGCUAGUUUUCUGUUAUUAGUUUGGUAAAUAUUUAUAACAAGGGAAGGUUUGGUUUUGCAAUUAAUUUCAUAACAUGUUUCAAAGGGUAGGAGACUAGAAGCGGUGAGUUAAGUAUACUUAAUCAAUUAAUUAGCAACAUUUCCAAUUGGAUUUGAGAUUUUAUGUUAAAAAAAAUAAAGUAAGAUGGUUUCCAUCAGCAUAAGCUCUCAAGUCUCUACAUAGAAAUUGGUUUAUUUAAUUAAUAUUGGAUGGUAAAGCUAAGAAUAGACCACAAAUUUUGAGUUCUCAUUUAUUUUGGAUACCACAUGCAUAUAAAAUUUGAUUUAUUUUGAUCUGAAAAAAGAAGAGAUACCCAUCAAGGGUUCAUAUAUAUAUAUAAAUAGAAAGAGAGAACAUUCAACUGAUCAUCAUCUUGGGACCAUUUUAUAUCUCCUUUUGUAGAAAACAAAAGGCAAAAGUGAUUAUAAAAGAAAAGGGAAAAGAGAGGAAGAAAAAUUAAAUUGGAAAAGAAGAAAAAGAUCAUUUUGGUCGUGUAAAGGUCUUCUGCAGAAGCAAAUAUUAAGUGGCCCUCAGGUUCUCUUCUGUAUCUUUGUGUAUGAUCAACUUUCACUAUACAUAUUUAUUCACUUAAAAAAGUCAUAUAUUGGAUUAAUACUUAUCCUGGUUUGCCUUAUUGCUUGGCCUUUCUAUCCUCAUCAAAAAAAAUUGGACCACCAUCAUAUAAUCUGUGCUGAGUCCAGACAAUUAUCUCUAUGAUCAUAACUUCAUCAUCGUCAAUGCUUAAAAUGCUAAAUGGGGUAUGACAGUGCUCAAGACAAUUUGUCAAUGAAGAUUUAGGUAAAAUAGUAUGACACUUCUUUCCACUUUGAUGUUACACAACAAUCAACCUUUUCAGUCAAAUUAAAUUACAUUAAUUCAUUGCUUACAAAAAAACAAUCAGAUUAAAAUAAUUAUAGAAAAUAUUUCUUGAAAUCAAGACUUUUGUACAUAAAAUGCUAAAAUGAUUGGAAAAUUAUUGUACAUAUGAUUUGAAAGUUAUUGAAAAGAAAUUUGAAAAUGACAGUCCAUUCUUGGACACUGAUUUGUAUUCAGUCCUUAUUAUACACAUCUUAAUACAUAUCUAUACAGGUCAUACCGAAGAAAGAAAAAAGAAAAGAGAAAAAAGAAAAGAGAAAAAAGAAAAGAGAAGAAGAAGAAAAUGUUAAGUUUCGAUAGAUAAUUUUUGUCCUACUCUACCCCAGUCCAAUCGAAGCCUGCUCUUAAAACAGGCACCGUUUCUAGUUUUUCUUUAAAAGACGGCCAAGCUUAUCAAAAUUUCGCCACACAAAAUUGAUUAUAUAAAUACUGAUGAAUCAAGCAAGGUAAAAAAGAAACUUCAUGUGACAGUUAGAUUAUUAAGAGAGGGUAAAGUGUGGAAGGAUGUGGACAUGACAAUAAUGGAGUUGCAUCAGAGUACAGUAGUUAGGGUUUCAUAAUUUGUUGUUGGUGGGUUAUAUUCCGACCGACUGAAGUUGAUGAGCAUAUUCAUACAGUCGAAUCUUGUUGGGUUGAUUCACUAUAAGACACAUUAGCUAGUUAGCUAGCUACUCUCAACGUCAAAGGUUAGUUGUUAACCCGUAAAAUCUUGUAUUUUGUAUCUUGUUUUGGACCAGAAGGGCAUGCCCUACUAAUUAUUGUGUGGCCCAAUUAAUUCUUUGAUAAUGCUUUGGAUUGCAGACUUUCUUCUUCUUCUUUAAUCUAUGCUUAAGGGUCUACGGAUUAUCUUGUGCUAAGUUAAGUUUAUUUCCUUUCUUUUGGCUUUGUUGCAACUUGCUUUGCACAUUCUCCCACAAACAAACAUCAUCAUAUUCAUGUUUUCUCUUUUUCCAUUAUUCAAAUUCCACUAUAAAUAAAAGAUCAAAUAUAAUCAUAUAAAUAUAUAUCGGAUUGGCAUUUACAUUAUGUCAAUCCAAUGCUCUCCCACUAAGACUCAAAGCUGUCGUUUUUUCAAUAAAAAUUAAAUGUCAGUAGCCAAGUUAGAUAGAUAAAUGACAGUGUUUUUCUUCAGCCGACAGCAACUAGUUGCAAAUUCCUGUUUCACACAAGGCAAAAAGUACUAUAAGCAGUUUUCAGCGAAGGAAACUUAAAGGAAGGAAGGAAGGAAGGAAGGAGAAGUUGCCCUACAAAGUCGUAUGCAUGGUCCAGAGGCACGUGAUAGCCAUGCAGACAUUUGGCACUGAGUCACACCGCCGGGGCUGCUUUCUCUGCUACAGCUACGCAUAAUGCACAUGUGUACUCGUGGAUUUGGACCAUCCAUUUGAUUUUGAUCCAUUUACUGCUCUUUAUUGUCAGUGGUCCUUUAUUAAUCUAUGGUAGUAAACUGUCUUCAUCCUUCUAUUUUUCCCAUGGACCAUUUCCCAUUAUUAACACUUAAAACGCGUUAUGGUCUUUGAGUUAGACUUAGAUUGUUAUGUUUUCUUCUUUUUUGUUUUCUGAUAGAGAAUGACUUAUGUACAGUUGGUUUAAAUACAUAAUGCUCUAUUUCUUUUACUUUUAGGCCAUAAUUUAUUAUAUGUAUUCAGUGUUAAAUGCUCAUUUCUAUAAUAUAAAAAUUUUUAGAGUUAAUAUUCUUGAUUUAUCCUUAUUAAUCCUUGAAUUCAAAAUUUCAUUUAUCAUAGAAGCUGAUAGAAUGAAAGAGAAGAAUAUGACAUCUCGCUGAAUUAAUGGUAGUUAUAGCUAACUUGUAUAAUCUUUUAAUGGUAAUUUAUAUGAUAAUUUCCUUUUUAAAUUAUAGCAUCCACUCUAUUAUUAAUUUUUUAAAAUUUUUAUGUGUGAUAUAAGUUACUUGGAUUGAAAAAUCAAUGUUUAAAGAUUAGUACUAACUAAUUAAUUAGCUUUAUGGAUGUGAUGUUUAUUCAAUGGGUGAUGAACAGCUAAGUUAUGCAUAGACAGCAUGGAAAAAUAACGAGUGAUAGAAAGAAAUGGAAAUAAAUUGAUAAUUGUUUACGAUAUUUGCUAUAUGCAAAUAAUAGAAAGUAAACGUGGUUAAAGACUUAAAGGGCUAGGCUUUGGAGAUAGAAUCAAAAAAAAAGGUUAUCCUUCGAGUGUAAAGAGUUGGCUUUAUUACGUACAUGAAAAGAGCAAGACAGGCAGGCGCGCGACUGUGAAUGGGAGAAGACUACUGCAUAGAUUUUAUUUAUUGUUGUAACGAAGGAAAGCAAUUUUGGUAUUGACCAAACAAUAUUCUAAAAUUUAUUGGAUUAAAACUAAAUCAUGCAUACUCCUGUGUUAAUUAACCAAAGAGUAAAAUGCGAAUCAAUAUCAAUCAGGUAUUAUAUGAUUUGAUAUGAGAAAUGAGAAGUCUUGACUAACCAAAGGAUAAAAUGCGAAUCAAUGUCAAUUAAAUAUUAUAUGAUUUGAUAUGAGAAAUGAGAAGUUUUUUGUUUCAAUUAUCUUGAUUAUAAAAAAUUUUCACCAAUUUUGGUGAAUAAAAAGAAAACAUUACUUCUAUUGUGUACUUUAUCGUAUAUUUUGGUCUAUUUUCCUCCCGAUAAACAUCAUAAGUGAAAAAAAGGCAAUUUUGAUAUGCAUAAUCAACGCUUUUCUUUGCCCUUUCUUCAACAUGGUAUGCUAUUUAGGACCACCAUUUGCAACUUGCAUCUUCAAUCAUUAGACCAUCCCUAGUUCCAUAUGUCAUAGCUAAGAAUUAAAUCUGGAAGAGAGUACCAAUUUCUCGAAUUUCUGACUUUCUACGCUUUGAGUGAUACAUACAGUAGUCGAAUGACAUGUAUUGUCCUAUUCUAAAGUGAUGGAAUACUCUGAAGUGUAUAUAUAGAUUUUUAUUAUUAUUGCAGUCACUCUCUUAUCUCACUUAAUUAAUUAGAGAAACAUCAGUUCAACAAACAUUCACCAUGAUUAAAUGAUUUGAGAACGAUUCUUUGCUACCUAAAUCUUGGAAUAUUGUGAUUGAUUGCUUCUAGAACUGUACAUCAUCUUCGUGUCUUUUCAAAAUUUCCUGUGGGGAAAAGAUAAACAAAGUUAUAUUUUACACUUGAAAAAUGCACUUAUUAGGGUGAAAACUGAAAAGGGUAAAUAAUAUAUUAUUAUUGCUAAAUCGACAGGUUAGAAAAAUUAUAUGCUACGUGAAAAUCAAGUUGGAAGUCCUAUUGCAUUAAAGUGAAAAAAGAGAGCUCCAUCAAUGAUUUGAGGAUGAGAUAGAUAAAUCGUAGCCACCAAAAGAAUUGUUGAAGCGAAGAAAGGUUUGUAUCCCCAAGAGAGCUAAGCAAAAAAGAUGCAUCUUUUUUAUCUCCCUUUUGAUAGUGUAAGGAGAUACGACUGCAUAAAGAGCAGAUUCCAUUACUCUACUCCACAUGGACAUUGUGGCUUUUGUAGUGGAAUUUGUCUCCUUUCUCUGUUGGAAUCUCAAUGGAUACUAGAAGAAUCUUCCCUAGUUUCAAAACAGAAUGUACAAAUUCUAGCUAUACCUACUAAAAACAAAAUCGUCAAUAGUCAACGUCUACAUAUAUUAGAUUCCAUGUUGUAAUAAUAACACAGUAUGUGUGAGUCGUUGGCUCUGUUGGCAGAAUACAGGAAUCUGGGUAAUGGGAUCCACGCUCCACACCAGGUUUAGUGGUACUGGAGAGUGCACUAUAGAUUCUUUCUGUAUUUACAUUCCUCUUUGCAGGAAGAGAGCGUCUUUGUUUUUAUUUAGUUUUAGGUUGUUAGAGUGAAGGGAUAUAAGAAAUCCAUUUGUUUCAAUCUAAAAACCUUGAAUCUAUAAGAUUCCCUCAAUCUAGAGGAUAUACGUUGAAACGGGGAAGGAUUCCAUUUUUAUAUAUUAAAUCAAUUAAAAACAGUUUUUUUUUUCAUUGCAAACGAGAGGUAUUUGUGACUGUUCAUAGGGGAAAAAAAAAAAAACAGAAACCGUAUUUUAAAGAACUUUUUUUUGAUUGGGUCGCGUGUGAUGUUUUUAUACACUACGUGUAGACAAAGCAAAACAAUUGGCCUACACAAGCGGUGAGGAUACAACAUGUUGGCCCAAAAAUAAGAUGAAAAUGGGCUGUUCAAAUUAUAUAGUCCAAACUAACUUGGAUUUACCGUUUUGGACCUUUGUUUAGCUUUGAAACCAAUAUGUUAUAGAAAGAAAGUUUAUGGGCCUCCAAUUGGCCCAAUAAGUUGAACCUUAACCCUCCUGAAAUUAUGAAUGCAUACACAAUUAUUAAAAAAGAAAAAAAACACAAAUAUAUAAAUGAAAGUUGAAAGUGUUACUGAAAAAAAAAAAAUAUUUAUCACAAAAUAAUUAUCUCAAAUUAUAUCCAUAAUCAAAUCCUACACCAAAUUAGAGGAAGGAAAAAUUGAAAAUACACAAUAGAAACAUCGUAGUUAAUCAAAGUCAGAACUGCAAGCUUCUAGCGCUUAACAUUUAAUGCUUGAAUUCUUUAAAAAAAAAAAAAAAAAACACUUAAUACUUGAAAUACUCUAAACAUUGUCUUUUCAUGUUCUUCAUCUCAAACUCAUUAGUAUCACAAAACUCAGAGAAUUGAGGAACUUGCAUUUGAGAAGAAACAUUAGGCAUGAUUGAGCCUUGUCCAGAACCUAACAGAGACAACUGCCUCAUUUCCCCGCAAUAGCUUACUGGAUGAGGGAUCCCACCAUUAUGAUUAUUCAAUAUCACCAUAUUACCUGCCGUCUGAUCAGCUUCUUGAGCUCCAAAUUGACUCAAAUCUGUACCGUUGGCUUUCAUCAUCAUCAUCAUCAUCAUAGGACUAUUAAGAGGAUUAACAUUAAAAGGAAGCACCUGAUGAUGAUCAAAUGGCUGCUGUAAUUCUGUACACUUUUGUUGCAAGGCAUUAGCGAAGGUAGAAGCCAUUGAAUUGUAUCUAUUAUUAAUAUUAUUAUUGCUCGAGCUUCCUUGAAUAAUAUUAACUGACUUGGAAUCUUCACCGAUCAUCAAAUAAUUGUCACCUUUUAUCUUCAAAAUCCUACUCAUUGCAGUUUCAAGCUUAGACUGUAAAACAGUAUGCAAUAAACAGAGUUCUUCAAGUUCCGAUGAGUUUAAACGAUUAUCCCAAGUAGGAAACUUGGCUUCCAAACAGGCCCUAUGCAUUUUAGUAAUCUCAUCGUCCAAUUUUCUCUUGCGAGUCUCAAAAAAAUGCGACAAAUCUUGACUUUUCUUGCGGUCAUUGCCAUGUGAUUUGUAACGGUCUAUAAUUUUCUUGAUUUCGGAGUGAUCGGUCGGGCAGGUAUCGACGUCAAUGGGACGGUUACUGAAUUUCGGACCAAAGAUUAUCACACAAGCAUCUACGUCGCAGAGAACUCGAAACUCGUGCAGUUUCUUUGUCAAACCUUUCUUUCUUUUCUGAUAUGUCACCAUGCGAGACCUCUCGUUGGUAAUUAGUUUCAUGCUCAGCUUUCCACGUCCCAUCUCUUCGAUCUACAUUUAAAAAAAAAAAAAGAACUGAAAUUAUCAGAAAAUUAAUAUUUAAAGUAUCCUAUAAAACAAAUUGCAACUAACAAAUGGAGAAAUUAAUUACAAAAACACUUUCUGCCAUGAGCUCGAAAUGAAAUUAGUUUCAUUUCCCAAAAAGGAUAUAGAUAUACUCGGAAAACAAAAUGAAAAAAAUACCAAAAAAAAUUUGAUAAAUUAGAAGACAUUUUAGACUUGAAUGGCUAUGUUUUUGCAUAAAGGGAAACACAAUGGAGAAGGUGUUGGUAUAAUAAGAGAGAAACCUGGUUUUAAAAGCCUUUGAUCUAACUACAGCAAGCCAAGAAUGGAGAUUUUUCAUUUUUUUUUUUUUCCAUAGAGCUUUAUAAAGGGAAAACUGUGUUGCUUCAUAAUAAAGAAUAUUACUAUUAUGGAAAAUGAAUCAUCAUCCGCUGAUUUUUGCAUAAAAAAAUUAGGAAUUUAAUUUGUAUAGCAAUGCCCAACAGGCGGAUUUUUCCAUUUUGCUAUCUUGCAGGCCGACAGAACAUUGCUAAUACCAUAUUACUAUAUUUGGAAUCCCAUCACUCACUCUAAAUAGGAAAUACAUUUAUUACUAUCUCUUAUUUAUUUAAAAAAUCAUUAAAAUGAAAGACAUUUUAUAUAUAUGGAAACAAAAAUCUUUCCAAGCUGGAUUUCAAUUUUCAUUUCAACUGAUUCAUUUUUGCAUCAAAUAUUUUCCUUAUCAUUUAUAUUAUGGACCAGAUCAUCUUGAUUAAAAAAAAAAAAAAAAAGUUUUAACUAAGCAUUAGUUGGGCUGGGCUUCAUCGCCGUAUUGUUAGUUUGGGUUGAGAGGAUUUCUUUAUAGUCUAUGACUUAGUAACCAAAGUUGGGCCUAGAUGAAUUAGUUUGCAUGAUCUGAUCCAGAUAAUUUAUUUUAAAGAAAAAUUCACAUUCAGAAUUUUUUUUUUAAUAAUAAUAACAAUUUAAUAAUCAGAUUAAUGAGUGAAUAUAAACUUUCUUUCAUGAUUUUUUCUGGCUUUGAUUCAAUCAAUUUCUGCUUCAAGAUGAGAAGAAAUAAUAGUAAAAGCUUUAAUUGAAUCUUCUUUGCUGUCUUAAUUACCUUUUUUUUCGCAGAAUAAUUGUGCAUCUUAUCAAAUAUGUCCUAUUAAAUGCAUUAUCCGAGAGAAUUAAAAUGGAAAUUGAUAAUUAGAAACUGAUUACACAAAACAUAACCAGAGACAUAAAAUCUAUAAAUCAAAAAAGAAUAUAAACAAAAAAUAAUAAAAAGACAACCUGAAACAUUGUCAGAAAUUCUCCAUCUUCAUCAAAUCUCCUUUAGGAGGAGAAAAUUAAGCCUAUAGUCUAAUGGAAGAUAGACUAUUUGGCUUUGAAUUGACACUGCGAGGAGUUCCAGCUGGUUGAACAAAAAUUUCUGCAUACAUUUCCAUGAAGAAAUUGUCAACAAUGUCCAGAUAAGCAGGGCAUGUUAAACGAGAAUAAUAAUGGAGAAUCUCUUCUAUGUCUAGAACAUGAUCCACAUUACUAACAUCCAUCAUUUCUAGCUCCCUUAGCUUCUGCGCCACCAAAAAGCUCCUUCCGUCAUCUUUUACGCUAUAAUUUGAACUAUUCUCCACCAAUCUUUUCCCUCUUUGGAAACCCUUGCCCUUGUUAUUACUAAUAUACGUUUUAACAGGACUCUUCUUCGAGAAUUUCAUGAAACUUCCAUUUAGACCAUCACUUUUUUCUUGCUUGGCUGGUGAUGACGGUCGCGGUUGUUCUAUCUUCUUCUUGUUUCCUUUAUUCAUUUCCUUUCCUUUAUCAGUAUCCCACCUGUCGCUGAAGUCAGUGUAGAAGUUGUCCAAAUCAUUUUUAUUGAAUCUUGUUUGGACAUUAGAGUACGGAUUGUAUGGAGAUAAGGUUUUGGGCAUUUUUUCGUAAGAAGAACCAGAAAAGAAAGACUUGAAGCUUUGUAAGGUUUUCUGGAAGAAUUUCUUGGUGUUGGAGAAGGAGCUUUUUAGCAACAUUGUCAAUGGUGGUGGUUAGUUCAGUUGUUUUAUGUGGAGGUACAAAAGAAACAGAUACUAUUUGUCUCUCUAUCUCUCAGUUUCUUUAUAGAGAAAGAAGAGAUAGAGGAGCCAUGAAAGGUUCUUGAAAUUACUAAAGAGAAAGAAAAGAGAAUGCAGUGGGCAGCAUUAUGUCUGUUUGUCUUUACACGCUCUUCUUUUUUCUUUUUGUUGUAUUAAUUUCUUGAAAUCCAGCUGAGUCCCCACCCACUGAUCAUAUCUCUCUCCCACACACGAAGGUAUCGAAAGAAAAUGGUAAAGCUUAUGUGAAAGUUUGAUGAAUAUUUAUUAUAAGAAAGUUUUCCAUCAUUUUUACUUUGUAAGGUGGAGUUGGUGUGUAGGGCUCUUUGGGAGAAAGGAAAGGAAAGGAGCGGGUGUGGUUGUUGAACUGGCUCUUUCUUUCUCUACAUUCUUUGGCUCUAGCGGCUUGUUGGUAAGAGUUCUGUUAUCGUAUAUUGCCUGCUGUUCUCCCUAUAUAUACACAUACAAAUACAUUCUCAUUGUACAUCCCCAUAUAAGAUUUAAUUCAAUAAUAAAUAAUGGGGCCACAGAAUUGCAAAUUAAGUAUUAUCAACUAUAUUAAUCACAUGGAGACAAAAAAAAAAAAAAAAAUUGUGUGUGAAGAUUUUUUUUUAAUUUUAUGAUAUGGCUCUAUAAAUCAAAUUUUAAUUAACAAAAUGAGAGUAAACUCACUUGUUUAAUGAAUUAUGAGUUUAAAUUUAAUAAAUACUACUAACUAAUUAGUAGGAUAAUUAAAAUCAUUGGAGGUAGGCAUGACGUCUAUGUAAUAAGGUGUAGAGUAUCUCUCUCAUAGACACUUCAAUCAUUAGGAUGUCUCUUUUAAUCGAUGUAGUAAUUAGUAAUUAGGAUUAGAUUUGUUUAUUUUGCUCGUAAUAUAUUAAAAUGUUUUGGUUCGAGAAUCAUAAGAUGAUGGACCAUUCCCUCCCCACUAUAAGACAAAUUCCCGUGAAUCACGGAUUGGAUCGACUUGCACUAUUUCUACACUAUUAAUUAAGUCAAAACCAACACUAAUUGACCAAAAGUAAGCCAUAAGACCAACAAUGUCUCUAAUCAUUGAUGAUUUUUUUUUUUUUUUGGGAUGAAUGAUAUUAUUUUAUUUGAUACAUUAAUACCCAAUUAAUAUUUAAAAUUGAAUCAUUAACUACUAUAGUAAGCAAUUUAUCAUUGUAUUCUAACAAUAUUGAAAUUAAUUUUUUUUACACCCAAAUAUAAACCUAUAGCCUGGGUGAUUCCAUAGAUUGCAGGGGCAACGUAUGUUACCGUUAAGCAGCAUAAUUAUACUUUGGCUUUUUAGGUAUUAUUAUUAUUAUUAUUAUUAUUAUAAAGAAUGUUGGCGGCUCGGAGUAGGAGUUAAUGGAAGACAAAAGUGACUAGUGAUUAGGACAAGAGAGCUGUUGAGGUCUAAGAGAAGAUAUAGGGAUAGUUGUAUACUUUUUGAUAAUGUUUGACCAAUUGCUACUGGCCACGCGUUUUGGCGUUCGGAACCAGUCUCCAUCCCUAUCUAGUUCCUUACUAUUCACUCUGACCUAACGGGAACCGCUCUUCGUACGGCUUCAUUUUUUUUUACCCUUUAUUAAUUAACCACUUCCUAUGACUUUUCAAUUUCAUCAAGUAACACAAGAAAUAAGUAAAGCUUUAAUCAAGAAAGCAUCAACCUAAGAAAAAAAAAUGAAAAUAGAAAAGAAAGACAAAUAAAUAAUGUGAAAACAAGUUGUAUUGAUAUAUUAUUCACUUGCCUUUACAACCAGCAUAAUAGGAAUUUCACUAAAUGGGGAUACAAUGCCUAUCUAAAUUGGAAAUAAAACCUUAUAAAAAUUAAAGUUUAAUAUAAAAAAAAAAGAUUUAUAAAAUUAUUCUGAGUGGAAACAAAUUUGUAUAAUUACUAACUAUGACGGUAUAUUUGCAACUUUUUUGGACCCUAAAACUUAAUUUUAAGCCGAUGUCAAUAUUACUAUGGAAAAUAAUAUUUAUCUAAUGAAUGGUAAACGUUCAUUUUCACCUUUAUUUCUAUCAUUUUCAUAUGAAAGACGAGAAAGAAGAGGAAAAUGAGAAAGUUCCUUACGGCACCUAGUUUAAAUGUAUGGAAUUCUAUUCGAUUUCAUCAUCUUACUAGUUGUUACAUAAAAUUAGAAAGGCUUGGCAAAGAGCCUCCUAAAAUGAUGUAUGAAGCUGCUUUUCUUUGAGAAGAUGUAUGCAGCUUUUAUAAGCAAAUGAAGCAAAUGAAGGUGAAAAAACGGAAAUGCCAAACAAAGUCAAAAAAAAAAAAAAAAAAAAAAAAAAAAAAAAAAAAAAAAGUGAGGGACAUUAAUCAUCCAGAAUUAUAGCUCUUACAUGUUCUCUCUUGAACAACAACAGAAAAACCAAACACAUAAAUAAAAUCAUUUAGGCACUAUACAAGCACAAACUUUUAAACCAUUUAACCAUUCACAGAUGUCAUAUAGACAUUAGUCAUCCAGCAUUAAUGUGAUACUUCCAUAUAAACUUUAUCAAACCAGUAAUAAUAUCAAUAGCUGUUAGAGUUUCUCUUGAACUAUAGAAAAACCGAAUACAUCUACUAGUUGCAGUGCAACAAAGACAUUCUCCAUUAACAGAGACAAACACAUUCUCUAUCCUCCAUCAACAAAAUCAACAUCUUCAUCUGACCUCAGCGAGCUUCAUACUGAACAACUGCAAGAGGCAAACUUUUUGUGUUAAACCAAAUGAUUAAGCACUGAUAAGUCUUAAGAGUCAAGGGAGUCUGCAUCAGACAAACCAUAAGAUUUUGCUGAAAUCUAGACAUGUAAAAUAUACAUGUGGGAGAAGUGUCUAUGAAAGGAUAUAAAGGCCAAACAAGAAACAAGCACUAAAUGCAUGGUUACAACUGUUGCAUUGUAAACAUGUCAGUAUGUUGCAAAUUGUGGCCGGCACCAUAAAGAAACUUCUUAAAAAAAAAAAAAAAAAAAAUCAAAAAAAAACAAAAAAAAAAAAAAAAAAAAAAAAAAAAAAAAAAAGAAAA